AGUUCGAGUUAGCGGGGAAUUCGAGUUAGCAGAGUAUGAAUCGAUGGGCUUUUACCCAUGAAUCUUCGGGGUCGUAUCCAGAAGUAGCAUAAAAACAAACAUGGCGGACGAUUCGUCGAGCGACGACGAACAAGACAUCGAGGAUGGCUACGAUGCGAUGCAAGAGAUUGAAGAAUACCACGGGGAGUCGAGCUCUGAAUACUCCGACUCUGGUUCCUCACCCAUUGAUAAUGGAGACGGUCCCAGACCACUAAGUAUCGCGUUUGACCCAUCAUUACCAACAAGACAUGAGUAUCUUGGUGAAGAGAUGGACGAGUUCAGUGGUCGAACUGUUCUGGAACCAAAUAAUGUAUUGCAACUCCCCCUUCUCACACUUCCUGGCCUAAUUCUGGUGCCAGGGCAAACUCUACCGCUUCACAUAUUCCAGCCACAGACUGUUGCAAUGAUGAAGAAUGUUAUUGACAAAGACAGAACAUUUGGUCAAGUUAACUCAAGAUAUGGUUCUAACAGGAACCAGCUGUUAUCCUCAAUUGGGACUACUGUGGAAAUAUUCUCAAUGAAGGAAGAAGUAGAGGCAGGAAUAACAACAAUCAGGAUCAAGGCUACAGGAAGACAGCGAUUCAGGAUUAUUGACAUCCGGACACAAGUUGAUGGAAUUCCUCAAGCUACUGUCCAGAUUCUACCAGAAAUCACCCUAUCCCCACACCCCGAGGGAGGUUUGCUUUCAUGCUAUUCCAAGUCUGGUUGCCAAGCAACUUGUGGAGGGUGCUUGCCAAAGUAUCACCCGCCAGGAGGGGGUGUUGGCAAGCCACGUCUUGGUGUCAGCCGCUUCAGAAAAGUCAACACAAGUCUGAGUAGCUGGCCAGAAUGGGUCUAUAGACUUUAUAAUCCUUUUAGCUUGAUGGAUGAAAUCAAGAAACUUCUGCUGAGCUGGAAUGAGUCCAUGCGAGUGGACAAUCUUCCUAUCUGCCCAACAGAGUUCUCAUUUUGGAUAGCAGCAAACCUUCCGCUGGACGACAGAUUGAGGCUUCAAAUACUGACAAUAAACUGUCCUACCCAGCGACUGCGAAAGGAACUCAGCAUUAUGCAAAAGUGCAGCGUAUUGUGUUGUCGGGACUGCAACUCAACUAUUGCUUAUAAAAAUGAGCUUUUCAGUAUGUCGCUGGAUGGCCCUUUAGGGGCCUAUGUGAACCCUGGUGGGUUUGUGCACGAGACGCUCACAUUCUAUAAAGCGCUGGGCAUUCGCCUCCGGGGGCACCCCACUGCGGAAAACAGCUGGUUUCCAGGAUACGCCUGGACGAUUGCCGAGUGUCAACAGUGCUCCAAUCACCUCGGCUGGCGGUUUAGCGCCAUCAAGAAAGGCUUGAGUCCCGGCAAGUUCUGGGGAUUGACGCGGUCUUCGCUCAAACCUUCCAUGAAGGACGAAGGGAUAACGGAUGACAGUUAGUGAACGAAGGGAUAACGGAUGACAGUGUAACGGAGGGAUAACGGAUGACAGUGUAACGAAGGGAUAACGAAUGACAGUGUAACGAAGGGAUAACGGAUGACAGUUUAACGAAGGGAUAACGGAUGACAGUUGAACGAAGGGAUAACGGAUGACAGUGUAACGGAGGGAUAACGGAUGACAGUGUAACGGAGGGAUAACGGAUGACAGUGUAACGAAGGGAUAACGAAUGACAGUUUAACGAAGGGAUAACGGAUGACAGUUUAACGAAGGGAUAACGGAUGACAGUUUAACGAAGGGAUAACGAAUGACAGUGUAACGAAGGGAUAACGGAUGACAGUUUAACGAAGGGAUAACGGAUGACAGUGUAGUAGAGAGGUUCUUUAGUUCCACAGUAUGUUAUAUUUUCCUGGUUUUUACAUCGCGCAUAAUUUGGUUUCACUGCUCACAUGCCAGGCCCGUAUCCAGGAUUUUUCUGGGGGGGGGGGGGGGGGGUGCGAAAUCCGAUUAGUUUGGUGCCUGUUUUGUGUAACCCGCUUAUGCCUUAUGGUUUCGUCUACAAAUAGCACGUCUAUUCCGAACCUGAAGUGGGUUUUCUGCCGUUGUGUGUAUGUGUGUGGGGGUUGGGAAAUGCGGACGCACCCCCCCCCCCCCCCCCCCCCCGUGCCUGCAUGCAUAGGUAAAUUCUCGCUGAUGAAAUUCCCUCUCCAUUCCUCAAGGUAGUACUCUUUUUAGAAAAAGAAUGAAAUAAAUAAAACUCUUUAAUAAUACCAGUAAUGAUGUUUUAAAUUCGGGUUCAAAUGUAUAUGUUUAUCGCGCGAAGAAUUAAGAAUGGGGGGAUGUUAAAAUAACCCCUUUUGGCAAAAUUCCUGGGAUCAGGAAUUUCCAGGGCCCUUCAAUGAACAGCUAGUAUUCAAGAAAGCAUCAGUUGUAAAAUUAAGGUACACGAAUAUUUGGAAUAAAAGGAGCAUAAUUUA
Molecule: RNA transcript, 2421 nt
Organism: Nematostella vectensis (starlet sea anemone)
Lineage: Eukaryota; Metazoa; Cnidaria; Anthozoa; Actiniaria; Edwardsiidae
Gene name: protein cereblon
Exons: 13
Source: RefSeq, a predicted model, not a curated record